UACGUAGGGUGCGAGCGUUGUCCGGCAUUAUUGGGCGUAAAGAGCUCGUAGGCGGUGUGUCACGUCGGCCGUGAAAACCUGCAGCUUAACUGUGGGCGUGCGGUCGAUACGGGCAUCACUGGAGUUCGGCAGGGGAGACUGGAAUUCCUGGUGUAGCGGUGAAAUGCGCAGAUAUCAGGAAGAACACCCGUGGCUAAGGCGGUUCUCUAGUACGGUACUGACGCUGAGACGCGAAAGCGUGGGGAGCGAACAGG
This 254-nucleotide ribosomal RNA is filed under the name uncultured bacterium. RNAcentral's name for it is "partial 16S ribosomal RNA". It matches the Rfam family "Bacterial small subunit ribosomal RNA", at positions 524 to 776 of the family's 1533-position model. The record is from RNAcentral.